GCGUGCUUAACACAUGCAAGUCGAACGAAGUGGCAAACGGGUGAGUAACACGUAAACAACCUGCCUUCAGGAUGGGGACAACAGACGGAAACGACUGCUAAUACCGAAUACCUGAAGAGGGGUUUGCGUCUGAUUAGGUAGUUGGUGAGGUAACGGCCCACCAAGCCGACGAUCAGUAGCCGGUCUGAGAGGAUGAACGGCCACACUGGAACUGAGACACGGUCCAGACUCCUACGGGAGGCAGCAGUGGGGAAUCUUCCGCAAUGGGCGAAAGCCUGACGGAGCAACGCCGCGUGAGUGAUGACGGCCUUCGGGUUGUAAAGCUCUGUGAUCGGGGACGCGGUACCCGAAUAGCAAGCCACGGCUAACUACGUGCCAGCAGCCGCGGUAAUACGUAGGUGGCAAGCGUUGUCCGGAAUUAUUGGGCGUAAAGCGCGCGCAGGCGGUUCUUAAGUCCAUCUUAAAAGUGCGGGGCUUAACCCCGUGAUGGGAUGGAAACUGAGAGCUGGAGUAUCGGAGAGGA
This 523-nucleotide ribosomal RNA is filed under the name uncultured bacterium. RNAcentral describes it as "bacterial SSU rRNA". It matches the Rfam family "Bacterial small subunit ribosomal RNA", at positions 42 to 658 of the family's 1533-position model. The record is from RNAcentral.